RNAcentral lists this long non-coding RNA (1092 nucleotides) under Homo sapiens (human). RNAcentral describes it as "HSALNT0366933". Lineage: Eukaryota; Metazoa; Chordata; Mammalia; Primates; Hominidae. The record is from RNAcentral.
GGGAGGGCGGGCUCGCCGGGUAGAAGUGACUUGAAGAAAGAGCGAGAAGUAUAGAAGGGCGCAGGCGCUAGUUCAGUGCUCGUGAGCAAACACCGUCUACAAGAUUCGAGUCAAACAACGUGAGAACUUGAAAUACGUCUCCAUUCUUUUUCCUUAGUACUCUCGUUCAUUCACUUACGGAACUGAUCUGCCUUACUAUUUCCACAAAAACUAGUCAUCAGCAAGAAGCUACCUGUGGGGUGCACAUUCUCAGGUCAAAUGACUUAGAAGCAACUUGAGGCAGUAUGGGAGCAUAAAAGACAGCCAGGAUGCCAAAGUCUCCGAGCAGUGAGUAGGAGUCUAAGAAGUUGGAAAGAUUCAUGGACCUCUUCCAGUAUGUGAAAGCCACAACUGUGGAGCAAAUGGGAAAGCAGGUUCUAGAGGUUGCCUGCAUUCCUUGACUCCUGAAUCUCUAUCACCUUCAGAGCCAGAUAUUUCCUGCUGAGUCUUUCUGAGGCUGCAUCACCCUGACCCUGACUCUUCCAUCUCCAUCCUUCAUGCUUAAAGGAUCCUGGUGAUUACAUUGGACCCUCCCGUACAAUCUAGGAUACAUUUUUAACCUUAAGGUCUUCAAGGGAUCACCACACUGUCUUCCACAAUGGUUGAACUAAUUUUCACCCCCACCAAUGAUGCUACCAUUGAAUUUAAUUAUGAUGCUGUCUUCAACAUGGAAGUUACAUAAGAAAAUCUGAAGCCAUUGUGUAUUUCAGCUAGGCUUCUUCUUAGGAAAUAGAGGUCAGCCUAGUGCAGUGAAGUCUGAUUGGAGGUGGACAAUGAGGAUCCUGCCAAGGUGCUGUCCUUAGCUUCUGUUCAGCCUAAUGUAAGUUCAUUCCUUUUGAUUACAGUCAUUUCAAUGACUUUUUUUGCCCAUAAAAUUAUGACCACAUAAUUCUUAUAGACUCUUCUAGCUUUUCAAUGUUGGGGAAGAAAGCUCGCCUAAUAAGCAACUUUUCAACCUCAGAAGCUUAAGUAUUAUGAAGCAAUAAGACCCAAGAUUUGAUGAAAGAAAAGCCAGAAUUUAGUAUGGCUGAAGAUAGGUGGGGAUACAGACCA